UUAAAGAUUACGGUAAGAGAUGACUAUGCGUCCUAUUAGCUAGAUGGUGUGGUAACGGCACACCAUGGCAACGAUAGGUAGGGGCCCUGAGAGGGGGAUCCCCCACACUGGUACUGAGACACGGACCAGACUCCUACGGGAGGCAGCAGUGAGGAAUAUUGGACAAUGGAGGCAACUCUGAUCCAGCCAUGCCGCGUGCAGGAUGACUGCCCUAUGGGUUGUAAACUGCUUUUAUACAGGAAGAAACCAUCUCACGUGUGAGAUCUUGACGGUACUGUAAGAAUAAGGAUCGGCUAACUCCGUGCCAGCAGCCGCGGUAAUACGGAGGAUCCAAGCGUUAUCCGGAAUCAUUGGGUUUAAAGGGUCCGUAGGUGGAUAAUUAAGUCAGAGGUGAAAUCCUGCAGCUCAACUGUAGAAUUGCCUUUGAUACUGGUUAUCUUGAGUUAUUAUGAAGUAGUUAGAAUAUGUAGUGUAGCGGUGAAAUGCAUAGAUAUUACAUAGAAUACCAAUUGCGAAGGCAGAUUACUAAUAAUAUACUGACACUGAUGGACGAAAGCGUGGGGAGCGAACAGGAUUAGAUACCCUGGUAGUCCACGCCGUAAACGAUGGUCACUAGCUGUUCGAACUUCGGUUUGAGUGGCUAAGCGAAAGUGAUAAGUGACCCACCUGGGGAGUACGUUCGCAAGAAUGAAACUCAAAGGAAUUGACGGGGGCCCGCACAAGCGGUGGAGCAUGUGGUUUUAAUUCGAUGAUACGCGAGGACCCUUACCAGGGCUUAAAUGUAGAUUG
Molecule: ribosomal RNA, 789 nt
Filed under: Psychroserpens sp. TB 39
Lineage: Bacteria; Pseudomonadati; Bacteroidota; Flavobacteriia; Flavobacteriales; Flavobacteriaceae
Also listed under: 1 other name
Description: bacterial SSU rRNA
Rfam family: Bacterial small subunit ribosomal RNA
Source: RNAcentral